Long non-coding RNA from Rhinichthys klamathensis goyatoka, 527 nucleotides. RefSeq lists it as uncharacterized. The record is from RefSeq and is a predicted model, not a curated record. Lineage: Eukaryota; Metazoa; Chordata; Actinopteri; Cypriniformes; Leuciscidae. The transcript is spliced from 2 exons.
AGUGGCCCUCAUUUAUCAAAAGUGCGUACACCAAAUUUCCAGCGUACACCUGGCGUACACCCAAAACCACGGUGACUUUGAGAUUUAUCAAUAUGGACGUUGGCGUGGUGUACAUGUACGCACGUUUUGAGUUAGUGCGGAAAUGCCCAGAAAAACAAUUGCUAACACCACAAAACGCACUGACAAACUAAAAUAUAUGAUAUAUUAUGACCCACUGUAAAACAAAAAAACAACAACAUAGUAAUUAUUAACUUCAGUGUUUAUUUUUGUGCAACAUGGACUUCAAUGUUUAAUUUGUGUGACUUUACCAAAGCAUUUGAUUUGUAAGCAUAUGUAUUCCUUCAGUUGCGAGCCUGUGCGCUUUACCCUGACGUUUCAGGGUUAUCCCCGGCAGGUGCGCACGGACUGGGUUCGGUAACGAAAGGCUUUCAAUGACCAAAAAAUAAUUCAGACUGACAAAAUAAUAAAAAAUACAUUCUUCUUCUUUUAAAUAAUAAUAAUACAAAUAAUAAUAAUGACAUUCUUCU